AGUUUGAUCCUGGCUCAGAACGAACGCUGGCGGCAUGCCUAAUACAUGCAAGUCGAACGAGAUCUUCGGAUCUAGUGGCGCACGGGUGCGUAACGCGUGGGAAUCUACCCUUGGGUUCGGAAUAACUUCGGGAAACUGAAGCUAAUACCGGAUGAUGUCGAAAGACCAAAGAUUUAUCGCCCAGGGAUGAGCCCGCGUAGGAUUAGCUAGUUGGUGGGGUAAAGGCUCACCAAGGCAACGAUCCUUAGCUGGUCUGAGAGGAUGAUCAGCCACACUGGGACUGAGACACGGCCCAGACUCCUACGGGAGGCAGCAGUAGGGAAUAUUGGACAAUGGGCGCAAGCCUGAUCCAGCAAUGCCGCGUGAGUGAUGAAGGCCUUAGGGUUGUAAAGCUCUUUUACCCGAGAUGAUAAUGACAGUAUCGGGAGAAUAAGCUCCGGCUAACUCCGUGCCAGCAGCCGCGGUAAUACGGAGGGAGCUAGCGUUGUUCGGAAUUACUGGGCGUAAAGCGCACGUAGGCGGCGAUUUAAGUCAGAGGUGAAAGCCCGGGGCUCAACCCCGGAACUGCCUUUGAGACUGGAUUGCUAGAAUCUUGGAGAGGCGAGUGGAAUUCCGAGUGUAG
Molecule: ribosomal RNA, 622 nt
Filed under: uncultured marine bacterium
Lineage: Bacteria
Description: bacterial SSU rRNA
Rfam family: Bacterial small subunit ribosomal RNA
Source: RNAcentral